UGGGGAAUCUUGGACAAUGGGGGCAACCCUGAUCCAGCCAUGCCGCGUGAGUGAUGAAGGCCUUAGGGUCGUAAAGCUCUUUCGCCUGUGAAGAUAAUGACGGUAGCAGGUAAAGAAACCCCGGCUAACUCCGUGCCAGCAGCCGCGGUAAUACGGAGGGGGUUAGCGUUGUUCGGAAUUACUGGGCGUAAAGCGCACGUAGGCGGACCAGAAAGUUGGGGGUGAAAUCCCGGGGGCUCAACCCCGGAACUGCCUCCAAAACUAUUGGUCUAGAGUUCGAGAGAGGUGAGUGGAAUUCCAAGUGUAGAGGUGAAAUUCGUAGAUAUUUGGAGGAACACCAGUGGCGAAGGCGGCUCACUGGCUCGAUACUGACGCUGAGGUGCGAAAGUGUGGGGAGCAAACAGGAUUAGAUACCCUGGGUAGUCCACACCGUAAAACGAUGUCUGCUAGUCGUUGGGGGCGUAGCCCUUCAGUGA
Molecule: ribosomal RNA, 476 nt
Filed under: uncultured bacterium
Lineage: Bacteria
Description: bacterial SSU rRNA
Rfam family: Bacterial small subunit ribosomal RNA
Source: RNAcentral